GCAGGGCAUGGUGGUGCAUGCCUGAAAUCCCAGCAACUCAGGAGGCUGAGGCAAGAGGAUCACAAGUUCAAAGCCAGCCUCAGCAACUUAGUGAGACCCCAAGCAACUUGGUGAGACCCUGUCUCUA
RNAcentral lists this small RNA (127 nucleotides) under Marmota monax (woodchuck). The record is from RNAcentral. Lineage: Eukaryota; Metazoa; Chordata; Mammalia; Rodentia; Sciuridae.